UCCAUACCCAUGUGUGUGGGACUCCAAAGGAUCACCAUUAAAUUUGGCACAGAUCUCUAGAAAAGUUAUCACAUGAGUAUGAGACUCGUCUUUUUUAGAGAUCUGUGUUAAAUUUAAUGGUGCUCCUUUGGGGUCCUACACACAUGGGUGUGAA
RNAcentral lists this microRNA precursor (154 nucleotides) under Amborella trichopoda. RNAcentral's name for it is "MIR8565 microRNA precursor family". It matches the Rfam family "MIR8565 microRNA precursor family". Lineage: Eukaryota; Viridiplantae; Streptophyta; Magnoliopsida; Amborellales; Amborellaceae. The record is from Rfam by way of RNAcentral.